Molecule: non-coding RNA, 420 nt
Filed under: Dufourea novaeangliae
Lineage: Eukaryota; Metazoa; Arthropoda; Insecta; Hymenoptera; Halictidae
Description: Eukaryotic large subunit ribosomal RNA
Rfam family: Eukaryotic large subunit ribosomal RNA
Source: Rfam by way of RNAcentral
CUGCGUAGUACGAGAGGAACCGCAGGUACGGACCAAUGGCACAAUACUUGUUCGAGCGAACAGUGGUAUGACGCUACGUCCGUUGGAUUAUGCCUGAACGCCUCUAAGGUCGUAUCCGUGCUGGACUGCAAUGAUAAAUAAGGGGCAAUUUGCAUUGUAUGGCUUCUAAACCAUUUAAAGUUUAUAAUUUACUUUAUAAACGACAAUGGAUGUGAUGCCAAUGUAAUUUGUAACAUAGUAAAUUGGGAGGAUCUUCGAUCACCUGAUGCCGCGCUAGUUACAUAUAAAAGCAUUAUUUAAUACAAUGACAAAGCCUAGAAUCAAUUGUAAACGACUUUUGUAACAGGCAAGGUGUUGUAAGUGGUUGAGCAGCUGCCAUACUGCGAUCCACUGAAGCUUAUCCUUUGCUUGAUGAUUCGA